This 756-nucleotide ribosomal RNA is filed under the name Verodes insignis. Its description in RNAcentral is "partial 16S ribosomal RNA". The stretch from base 1 to 566 matches the Rfam family "Bacterial large subunit ribosomal RNA", at positions 1846 to 2925 of the family's 2925-position model. Lineage: Eukaryota; Metazoa; Arthropoda; Insecta; Coleoptera; Zopheridae. The record is from RNAcentral.
UUUGAAGUCUGGCCUGCCCAAUGAUAAUUAUUGAAUGGCCGCAGUAUUUUGACUGUGCAAAGGUAGCAUAAUCAUUAGUUUUCUAAUUAAAAGCUGGAAUGAACGGUUUGAUGAAGGAAGAUCUGUCUCAGGAUUAUUAAUAUAGAAAUUUAUUUUUAAGUUAAAAAGCUUAAAUAUUUUAAAAAGACGAGAAGACCCUAUAGAGUUUUAUACUUAUUUUGUAAAAUUUUAUUUUGGAUUUUUAAAGAUUUUUAUUUUAAAAGUAUUUAGUUGGGGUGACGUAUAAAUUUAAUUAACUUUUUAUAUUAAAAACAUGAAUUGAUGGAUCAAUGAUCCUUUUAUUUGGAUUAAUAGAAAAAAUUACCUUAGGGAUAACAGCGUAAUUUUUUUUGAGAGUUCUUAUCGAAAAAAAAUAUUGCGACCUCGAUGUUGGAUUAAAAUUAAUUUCUGGUGCAGAAGCUGGAAAAUUAGGUCUGUUCGACCUUUAAAAUUUUACAUGAUCUGAGUUUAAACCGGCGUGAGCCAGGUUGGUUUCUAUCUUUUAAUAAAUAGUAUGUUUUAGUACGAAAGGACCAAGCAUUAAAAUUAUAUUUUAUUUUUUGAAUUAUAUUGUUAUUUUGGCAGAUUAGUGCAAUAAAUUUAGAAUUUAUAUAUGUAGAUUGAUUACAAAUAAUAUUGUUUUUUCAAGAUUUGUUUAUAAUUUUUAUUUCAAUAAUUAUUUUAAUUGUUUGUGUGUUAGUGGGGGUAGCUUUUUUA